RNAcentral lists this ribosomal RNA (253 nucleotides) under uncultured bacterium. RNAcentral's name for it is "partial 16S ribosomal RNA". It matches the Rfam family "Bacterial small subunit ribosomal RNA", at positions 524 to 776 of the family's 1533-position model. The record is from RNAcentral.
UACGUAGGGUGCAAGCGUUGUCCGGAAUUAUUGGGCGUAAAGAGCUCGUAGGCGGUUUGUCGCGUCUGCUGUGAAAACUCGGGGCCUAACCCCGGGCCUGCAGUGGGUACGGGCAGACUAGAGUGCGGUAGGGGAGACUGGAAUUCCUGGUGUAGCGGUGAAAUGCGCAGAUAUCAGGAGGAACACCGGUGGCGAAGGCGGGUCUCUGGGCCGUAACUGACGCUGAGGAGCGAAAGCGUGGGGAGCGAACAGG